This is a long non-coding RNA of Pseudopipra pipra, 819 nucleotides long. RefSeq lists it as uncharacterized. The record is from RefSeq and is a predicted model, not a curated record. The transcript is spliced from 2 exons. Lineage: Eukaryota; Metazoa; Chordata; Aves; Passeriformes; Pipridae.
UGGUUUUAGCUGCUCUCUGCCCUGCUGGGUGGGACAAUGGAAGGUGUCUGAGCAUGCAUGAGGCUGAGCAACCUCUACAAGAGGCACUGGAGCCACUCCACAGCCCCACUUGGUGCACAGCCCUGUAGAAUCCCUGUGUUGUACUGGGUUCCCCUCACAGACACCCUUUGCAUCUGCUGCUCCCCUCCUGUGGCUCCACACCUGGGUGGGCUCUGGCAUUUGAGCUUCCCAAGAAGGAAUUUAGAUCUGCAUCCUGCAGCCCAGGACCCCUCCUGGGACAGCUGCUCCAGCACCAGGAGGAAAGGCCAGCAGCUCCCAGGGGGCUUGGCAGGGCUCGGACACGGGGACUCCGAGUGCAUCCGUCGGGCUUGGCUUCACUCCCAGCUCAGCAACUGCACAAGAACCUCUGCAAAACCAGAGCCCUGGGGAUUCAAAUCCUCACCUCCACCCCAGUGCAGAGACACAGCUGUGCCACCCACCCUGAGACCAGGGCAGAGCAAAGCUGCUCCUCACCCUCCCCAGCCAGCAGCAGGUAUCAGCCAGCUCUCGCCUGUGGGCUCUGAACAACCCUCUUCUGCUUGGAUUUACGUGUUUUUAAUUAUUUUAAUUAAACACAGAGAUGUUCCAAGGUGGAGACCAGACAGAUACUGCUGCUGCUGUUGGGAAGCAGAACCCUGUUUGUUAUGACCACUCUCCUGCACUGUCACUGUCCCCAAAGCAACAGGACACAACACCAGGAAGGAGCCAACAGCACAAGUGUCAUUUUUCUGUGCCCUAAUGCUCCUGGGCAGCCAUCAGGCUUCACUAUUGCCAGUCCAA